RNAcentral lists this ribosomal RNA (465 nucleotides) under Vreelandella stevensii. RNAcentral's name for it is "partial 16S ribosomal RNA". It matches the Rfam family "Bacterial small subunit ribosomal RNA", at positions 338 to 795 of the family's 1533-position model. Lineage: Bacteria; Pseudomonadati; Pseudomonadota; Gammaproteobacteria; Oceanospirillales; Halomonadaceae. The record is from RNAcentral.
CCUACGGGUGGCUGCAGUGGGGAAUAUUGGACAAUGGGCGAAAGCCUGAUCCAGCCAUGCCGCGUGUGUGAAGAAGGCCUUCGGGUUGUAAAGCACUUUCAGUGGGGAAGAAAGCCUUGGGGCUAAUACCCUCGAGGAAGGACAUCACCCACAGAAGAAGCACCGGCUAACUCCGUGCCAGCAGCCGCGGUAAUACGGAGGGUGCGAGCGUUAAUCGGAAUUACUGGGCGUAAAGCGCGCGUAGGCGGUCUGAUAAGCCGGUUGUGAAAGCCCCGGGCUCAACCUGGGAACGGCAUCCGGAACUGUCAGGCUAGAGUGCAGGAGAGGAAGGUAGAAUUCCCGGUGUAGCGGUGAAAUGCGUAGAGAUCGGGAGGAAUACCAGUGGCGAAGGCGGCCUUCUGGACUGACACUGACGCUGAGAUGCGAAAGCGUGGGUAGCAAACAGGAUUAGAUACCCUAGUAGUC